UCCUCAGGUGAACCUGCGGAGGGAUCAUUACUGAGUUUACGCUCUAUAACCCUUUGUGAACAUACCUAUAACUGUUGCUUCGGCGGGUAGGGUCUCCGUGACCCUCCCGGCCUCCCGCCCCCGGGCGGGUCGGCGCCCGCCGGAGGAUAACCAAACUCUGAUUUAACGACGUUUCUUCUGAGUGGUACAAGCAAAUAAUCAAAACUUUUAACAACGGAUCUCUUGGUUCUGGCAUCGAUGAAGAACGCAGCGAAAUGCGAUAAGUAAUGUGAAUUGCAGAAUUCAGUGAAUCAUCGAAUCUUUGAACGCACAUUGCGCCCGCCAGCAUUCUGGCGGGCAUGCCUGUUCGAGCGUCAUUUCAACCCUCAAGCUCUGCUUGGUGUUGGGGCCCUACAGCUGAUGUAGGCCCUCAAAGGUAGUGGCGGACCCUCCCGGAGCCUCCUUUGCGUAGUAACUUUACGUCUCGCACUGGGAUCCGGAGGGACUCUUGCCGUAAAACCCCCAAUUUUCCAAAGGUUGACCUCGGAUCAGGUAGGAAUACCCGCGAACUACCCGGGCCUUCCU
RNAcentral lists this ribosomal RNA (564 nucleotides) under Colletotrichum gloeosporioides. Its description in RNAcentral is "eukaryotic LSU rRNA". The stretch from base 203 to 356 matches the Rfam family "5.8S ribosomal RNA". The record is from RNAcentral. Lineage: Eukaryota; Fungi; Ascomycota; Sordariomycetes; Glomerellales; Glomerellaceae.